CCCUUAGAUGUUCUGGGCCGCACGCGCGCUACACUGAUUCAUGCAACAAGUUUUGUCCUUGGCUGAUAGGCCUGGGUAAUCUUUGAACGUGAAUCGUGAUGGGGAUAGAUGAUUGCAAUUAUUCAUCUUCAACGAGGAAUUCCUAGUAAACGCAAGUCAUCAGCUUGCAUUGAUUACGUCCCUGCCCUUUGUACACACCGCCCGUCGCUCCUACCGAUCGAAGAGUUAGGUGAAUUGUUUUGAUCGAUAAGAUUUGACUAUGGUCAACUCUCGUUGUGAAAUUCUGUGAAUCUGACUGUUUAGAGGAAGGAAAAGUCGUAACA
RNAcentral lists this ribosomal RNA (323 nucleotides) under uncultured eukaryote. Its description in RNAcentral is "partial 18S ribosomal RNA". It matches the Rfam family "Eukaryotic small subunit ribosomal RNA", at positions 1470 to 1796 of the family's 1831-position model. The record is from RNAcentral.